CACUAAGAAGCUACACAGCAUUAGCCUUUUAAGCUAAAGAGGGGGUAAUCUACCCCCUUAGUGA
This 64-nucleotide transfer RNA is filed under the name Mesalina olivieri. RNAcentral's name for it is "tRNA-Lys". The record is from RNAcentral. Lineage: Eukaryota; Metazoa; Chordata; Lepidosauria; Squamata; Lacertidae.